CAAGGARUUUUKUUUUGUGCGGUYCGRGGUWUUUWRAAGACCGRGGGCGCAGCGAAAAGAARACCSCGAUCCCUUSGUUUUAGUCACCGAGGGGCGCAGCGGCCGCCUUUCCUCGUUGGCAGGAAGGAGUGAGAGCACGCCGGCAAGGACCCGAUAGGUGGUGAAUAUUCUCGGGCAGGACGAAGGCCGCGGAAACACGGCUGGAGGUCCGAAGCGGUUCUGACGUGCAAAUCGAUCKUCCGACCCGAGUAUAGGGGCGAAAGACCAAUCGAACCACCUGGUAGCUGGUUCCCUCCGAAGUUUCCCUCAGGAUAGCCGUCGCUCAUUGUAAUGGCAGUCGCGUCCCGUAGAGAGAAUGAUUAGAGUCAUCGGGGACGCCCGUGUCACUCGACCUCUUCUCAAACUGCGAAGGGACGCGCGGGUGCCUCUCUCGAUCGGAAGGCGCCCCGGUGGAUG
RNAcentral lists this ribosomal RNA (456 nucleotides) under Trichonephila fenestrata. RNAcentral's name for it is "Nephila fenestrata partial 28S ribosomal RNA". It matches the Rfam family "Eukaryotic large subunit ribosomal RNA", at positions 667 to 1114 of the family's 3401-position model. The record is from RNAcentral. Lineage: Eukaryota; Metazoa; Arthropoda; Arachnida; Araneae; Nephilidae.